Molecule: ribosomal RNA, 473 nt
Filed under: uncultured organism
Description: partial 16S ribosomal RNA
Rfam family: Bacterial small subunit ribosomal RNA
Source: RNAcentral
GUACACUCCUGCGGGAGGCAGCAGUGGGGAAUAUUGCACAAUGGGCGCAAGCCUGAUGCAGCCAUGCCGCGUGUAUGAAGAAGGCCUUCGGGUUGUAAAGUACUUUCAGCGGGGAGGAAGGUGUUGAGGUUAAUAACCUCAGCAAUUGACGUUACCCGCAGAAGAAGCACCGGCUAACUCCGUGCCAGCAGCCGCGGUAAUACGGAGGGUGCAAGCGUUAAUCGGAAUUACUGGGCGUAAAGCGCACGCAGGCGGUCUGUCAAGUCGGAUGUGAAAUCCCCGGGCUCAACCUGGGAACUGCAUUCGAAACUGGCAGGCUAGAGUCUUGUAGAGGGGGGUAGAAUUCCAGGUGUAGCGGUGAAAUGCGUAGAGAUCUGGAGGAAUACCGGUGGCGAAGGCGGCCCCCUGGACAAAGACUGACGCUCAGGUGCGAAAGCGUGGGGAGCAAACAGGAUUAGAUACCCGAGUAGUCC